This is a long non-coding RNA of Cotesia glomerata, 411 nucleotides long. RefSeq lists it as uncharacterized. NCBI's taxonomy places the organism in Eukaryota, Metazoa, Arthropoda, Insecta, Hymenoptera, Braconidae. The transcript is spliced from 2 exons. The record is from RefSeq and is a predicted model, not a curated record.
UUAAUUUUUAAAAGAACAUUUUCAAUGUAUAUAUAUACUAAAGCAAAGUAUAAGUAGAGCCCUCGGGAGUUAUACCUAUAUACAUUACAAACUUAUUGUAGAUGAACUAUAGCUAUAGAUUUACGCACCUAUAUUAUAGUAUAUGAUACCCAGUGGAUUUUGACAUUUAAACGUAGACAUGUUUUUAGUCUAGUAAGAAUCAAGUUUUACUUUUUAAAUAUAUCGUAUAUAAUAACUGCAGCUUUAUUAUAACACAAAUAGUUGAUAUGAGCAAUAAAACAAAUUGUUUUAAAGAAAAAAAAUACGCUCAAAAAUAUUCGAAGCAAUGGGAACAAGACGAAAACUUAAAAGAUUGGAUAGCUCCUGAUCCUACUGGUAACUGUCAAAAAGCUUAUUGUAAAUAUUGCCGUA